CGCUCCGGCUUCACCUGCAACGUGUCGAUUGCACGGAUGGUCGCGGCGCGUGGCUCCGGCCCCGGGCCCGCCGCCCAGCCUCUGCUAGGUGAGGGGUUCACCCCCUCCAAAAGACCAAAGCCAGCCCUGCCCCCGCCCCCCAAGCCUUAAGAACAAAAAGCCACGUCCAAAUUAGCAAGCGCCGUGUUCCGCUGGAUUAGAGCUUUACCCAACACCUGGCUGGUUAACGGCUUCACUGCUCCGACUCUAUCUGCUCGACACCCCCAAACCCCCAAAUCGAGAGGAGACUCCACGGCGAGGAUUUACGCACCGGCUCGGAGCGCCUCCGCCGGGGCAGAGUCUCCGGGGAGCGGUGGCCGGUGGCGGGGGGAUUGAGGGUUUUCUUCCUCUGCAAAGCAGGAUUAAUGACCCGUCUUCCCGUCUCGGAGGUUUUGAAGUUCACGGCUCUUCUUUGCAAAGCAAAAGGAAAAUGCAUUCGGACGCCAGCACUUCUGGGUUGCGGUGAUCGAGAAUCACCCAGAGAGCACUUUCGAUAGAGCGGAGCCCCGAGAUUUCCUAGAGCCUCCUUCGUCCGCGCAUUCUGUGUGCCGGGUUCUUGCCUUCAAGGAGCUUCAGAUCUAUUUUGAGCGUUCCAGGUUGACCAGUACACAAUAGAAAAUAAGGCAAGGUAAAAGUAAUUAAAGGCUAAGUGGUACAGAAGACGCUGUAUGUGUGCUUUUCUGACUCGUAGUGAUGCUUAGAGGAGUUUGGAUUUUUUUAAAGGUGGAUCUUGUUAUUUAAAGAUUUUGACAAGAUAAGGAAACAACUGAACAUCCCCCAUAAGAAACUAGAUUUCAUAGCAUUCGCAAAGCCACCCUGUAAAGGGCAAACAUGCAUUCAUUUCUUUCCUUUUACCGUUUUAUGUUGUAAUAGCGCCUAUCAUCGCCUGCAGGGUUAUUUAUUUUUAAUACUAGCACUGUCAUAUGUACAUCAUUUUUAUUCACAUCGAGUUUCUUCUCAACGACCCAGAAGACGAAAAUAAUGGAGCAUUUUUAUAUUGGUUAUAAUAUGGGCUUCUCAGUCUUGAGAAGUAGCCACACAAACACUGAAAACGAU
RNAcentral lists this long non-coding RNA (1095 nucleotides) under Heterocephalus glaber (naked mole-rat). RNAcentral describes it as "lncRNA (ENSHGLG00000037107.1)". Lineage: Eukaryota; Metazoa; Chordata; Mammalia; Rodentia; Bathyergidae. The record is from RNAcentral.